UACGGAGGGUGCGAGCGUUGUCCGGAAUCACUGGGCGUAAAGGGCGCGUAGGUGGCCCGUUAAGUGGCUGGUGAAAUCCCGCGGCUCAACUGCGGGGCUGCCGGUCAUACUGGCGAGCUAGAGCACGGUAGGGGCAGAUGGAAUUCCCGGUGUAGCGGUGGAAUGCGUAGAGAUCGGGAAGAAUACCAGUGGCGAAGGCGGCUCUCUGGGACGGUACUGACGCUGAGACGCGAAAGCGUGGGGAGCGAACAGG
This 253-nucleotide ribosomal RNA is filed under the name uncultured bacterium. Its description in RNAcentral is "partial 16S ribosomal RNA". It matches the Rfam family "Bacterial small subunit ribosomal RNA", at positions 524 to 776 of the family's 1533-position model. The record is from RNAcentral.